Molecule: non-coding RNA, 776 nt
Filed under: Compsilura concinnata
Lineage: Eukaryota; Metazoa; Arthropoda; Insecta; Diptera; Tachinidae
Source: RNAcentral
UAAAAGUUUUAUUUUAGCUUAUAAAAUUAUUAUUAAUUUAAUUUAUAUGUAAAUUUUUGUGUAUUUAUUUAUUUAUUUUAAAAAUUAUUUAAAUAAGCAAUAAUUAAUAUUAUUAGUUAAAGAAAUUUAGAAAUAGUAAUUUUAAAUAGUAUUGAUUAAUUUUGUGCCAGCAUUCGCGGUUAUACAAUUUAUACAAAUAAUUUUUUAUAGUUUAAGUUAAAUUGUAAUUUAUAUUAAAUUAAAUUAAAUUUAUUAAGUGAAAUUUUUAAUUUUAUUUUUUUUUAAAAAAAAAUAUUGAAGCUAUAAAAUUUUAAUAAUAAACUAGGAUUAGAUACCCUAUUAUUAAAAAUUUAAAUUAUAAAAAUUUAGGUAUUAAUAGUUAUUUUCUUUAAACUUAAAAAAUUUGGCGGUAUUUUAGUCUAUUCAGAGGAACUUGUUUUAUAAUCGAUAAUCCUCGUUGGACCUUACUUUUUUUAUUAAUAGUUUAUAUACCGUCGUUAUUAAAAUAUUUUAUAAAAAUAUUAAUUUUUAUAAUUUUAUGAAAAAAUAUAUCAGAUCAAGGUGUAGCUUAUAUUAAAGUAUUAAUGAGUUACAAUAAAAUUAUUUAUAUGAAUAUAAAUUUGCAAUAUUUAUUAAAGGCGGAUUUGAUAGUAAAAUUAUAAAGAAAAAUAAUUUGAUUUUAGCUCUAAAAUAUGCACAUAUCGCCCGUCACUUUUAUUAUUAAGAUAAAAUAAGUCGUAACAUAGUAGGUGUACUGGAAAGUGUACCUAGAAUAC